This 77-nucleotide transfer RNA is filed under the name Tissierella simiarum. Its description in RNAcentral is "Tissierella sp. MSJ-40 tRNA-His". It matches the Rfam family "tRNA". From Rfam's summary of the family: Transfer RNA (tRNA) molecules are approximately 80 nucleotides in length. Their secondary structure includes four short double-helical elements and three loops (D, anti-codon, and T loops). Further hydrogen bonds mediate the characteristic L-shaped molecular structure. tRNAs have two regions of fundamental functional importance: the anti-codon, which is responsible for specific mRNA codon recognition, and the 3' end, to which the tRNAs corresponding amino acid is attached (by aminoacyl-tRNA synthetases). tRNAs cope with the degeneracy of the genetic code in two manners: having more than one tRNA (with a specific anti-codon) for a particular amino acid; and 'wobble' base-pairing, i.e. permitting non-standard base-pairing at the 3rd anti-codon position. Lineage: Bacteria; Bacillati; Bacillota; Tissierellia; Tissierellales; Tissierellaceae. The record is from RNAcentral.
GUGGGUAUGGCCUAGAUGGUUAAGGCGCCAGAUUGUGGCUCUGGAGAUCAUGGGUUCGAAUCCCAUUAUCCACCCCA